UACCAUACUCUGGGGAAACCCUGUGGCCCUCACCCCUCCCAAACGUACUAGGCGGGACAGCCCGGGAAACUGAGAGGCUAGACUGCCCCUCCCAUGUGGGCGGAGGUUCCUGGCACAAGACGGUCUCCCCGGCCUGUGGGGAGGGCUUUAUUGCUACCCUCCUGGUGCCCCCUUAGGAAUGGAUCUGACCGGCAAUUUCCUAGAAUUGUGCUUCUGGAGCUCCUCAGUCGUCCACUCCCUGCCCCUCUUCCCCACCUCAUUUAAGGCUCCUCUCCCCAGAGCCCAAGUCCCCGUAGCUGUCCCAGCUCCACCCUGAUCUAACUUCCUAGGCCUCACAGCUCUCUUUAUCAUAGCCAGUCUCUUCAGGGGCUGUCUGCUCCCCUUGUGGGGAGGAACUGGGGCAUGGGAGGCUACAGGGCCACCGGGGCCCAUCAGGAAGUUCAGUAGCUGUGGUUGACAGGACAACCACUCUUGGUUAGGCCUUCCCAGUGCUGUUCAUCCCCGGCUUGGCUGGUGAGAGGACUGGACCAUGUCUGCUCCCUCUCCCGAUAAAUUGAGCCUGACUGGUGCCAAAAAGGGUGGGCGGGAAGCACAAAACAAGAGUCACUGGACAGGAGGGGAGCAAUUUAUCCUUUCUUUAUCCCAAACUGCCAGCCGUGUACCAGGGAGCAGUGCCACGCCAGACCUCCAAGCUCCCAGUGGCCACCCUACGUCCAGGUCCCACAGGGUGGACUCCAGGAAGAGGCCUGGGAGGUCAGGGGAGAGGCCUGCCUGCACUUGAUGGAUGGUCCUGAAGAAAUGUCUGGCACUUUCCUCCCCCAUGAGGGCGGUGGAGCUGCAGCCACCUCUCCCCCGCAUUCCUGCCUGCCUGCCUGCCUGGGAAGGAGGGGUGAGGGGUGGGUCCAGCAGGGAAACCAGGGCUCCUGGCCCAGCUGAGAGGCAUUUUGCAAACUAUGACUCAACAUUUGUCUACACUGACAUGGGGAAUGGAGGAGCACGUGGACAAUCCCCAAAUUUCACCUGGGUUGAAAGGCAUCCAUAUGUUCCCACCCGACCCCCACUUCCUCCCCAGCUCCCAGGCCUCUCCAUUCAGUCCAUACUAAUUAUCUGAUUCCUACUGUAUGCCAGCCAUUGAGUAACAUAACAGUUCUCAAGGUGUGGUCCGCAAAUCCUGGGAGUCCCAAAUAUUUUUUCAGGGCAUAGAUGAGGUCAAACGAUUUUCAUAAUAAUUCUAAUACGUUAUUUGCCUUUUUGACAGAGUUGACACAUUGCAUCGAAGUGCAAAAGCAAUGGGGGUAAAACUGCUGUGGCUUUACAUAAAUCAAGGCAGUGGCACCCAAUUAGUAUUGCAUGCAUUCUUCACCACUGCACACUGAAAAGGCUGGUUUCACAUAAGAAUGUUCUUGAUAAAGCAGUCAACAAUUAUUAACAUGUAAUAGGCUUAUUAUUGUUAUCUUACAUGAGUUAAUAAAUAAGGAUUUGUCGGGCCGGGCACGAUGGGGUUUCACCAUGUAGGCCACGCUGAUCUCAAACUCCUGACCUUGUGAUCCACCCACCUUGGCCUCCCAAGCUGCUGGGAUUACAGGGUUGAGCCACUAUACCUAGCCUUUUUUUUUUUUUUUUAAGAUAGUCUCGCUCUGUGGCCCAGGCUGGAGUGCAGUGGUGAGAUCUUGGCUCACUGAAGCCUCCACCUCCUGGGUUCAAGCAAUUCUCCUGCCUCAGUCACCUGAGUACCUGGGAUUACAGGCAUGCAUCGCUAUGCCCGGCUAAUUCUGUAUUUUUUUUUUUUUUUUUUGAGACAGAGUCUCGCUCUGUUGCCCAGGCUGGAGUACAGUGGUGCAAUCUCAGCUCACCACAACCUCUGCCUCCCAGGUUCAAGCGAUUCUCCUCCCUCAGCCUCCUGAGUAGCUGGGACUACAGGCAUGUGCCACCAUAUCUGGCUAAUUUUUCUAUUUUUAGUAAAGACGGGGUUUCCCUAUAUUGGCCAGGAUGGUCUCGAACUCCUGACCUCAUGAUCCACCUGCCUCAGCCUCUCAAAGUGCUGGGAUUACAGGUGUGAGCCACCGCGUCUGGCAACUAAUUUUGUAUUUUUAGUAGAGACUGGGUUUCUCCAUGUUGGUCAGGCUGGUCUCGAACUCCUCAUCUCAUGUGAUUUGCCCACCUCAGCCUCCCAAAGUACUGAGAUUACAAGAGUGUGCCUGGUUUUUUUUUUUUUUUUUUUUUUUUUUUUUUUGAGACAGUCUCCCUCUGUUGCCCAGGCUGGAGUGCAGUGGCGCCAUCUCGGCUCACUGCAACCUCCGCCUCCUGGGUUCAAGAGAUUCUCGGCCGGGUGUGGUGGUUUACGCCUGUAAUCCCAGCACUUUGGGAGGCCGAGGCGGGCGGAUCAUGAGGUUGGGAGAUCGAGACCAUCCUGGCUAACAUGGUGAAACCCCGUCUCUACUAAAAAUACAAAAAAUUAGCCGGGCGAGGUGGUGGGCGCCUGUCCCAGCUACUCGGGAGGCUGAGGCAGGAGAAUGGGGUGAACCUGGGAGGCAGAGCUUGCAGUAAGCCGAGAUGGCACCACUGCACUCCAGCCUGGGCGAAGGAGCGAGACUCCGUCUCAAAAAAAAAAAAAAAAAAAGAGAUUCUCCUGCCUCAGUCUCCUGAGUAGCUGGGAUUACAGGCGCGUGCCACCAUACCCAGCUAAUUUUUGUAUUUUUAGUAGAGACUGGGUUUCACCAUGUUGGCCAGGCUGGUUUUGAACUCUUGACCUCAGGUGAUCCAUCCACCUCAGCCUCCCAAAGUGCUGGGAUUACAGGCAUGAGCCCCUGUGCCCGGCCAAUAAUAAUAAUUCUUAAGGAUGUAAAUGGGUCCUUAAACCAGUUUCAGCACUGCUGGGCAAUUCAUAGGCUGUUACUACUCUCAGAGCCUGCAUUCCCAGCUUAAGAAUCGAGAGUCUUUUUUUUUUACUUUUCCUUCUAGACCCUUGUAGAACAAGAAGUGAGUCUUAUUUGAAGUAGAGAGUGGAGAACUGACUGUUUUCUGGCAACCCUCUCUCCCUCAAGAAGAGACACUGUCACUGGAAUAAAGAUUUUAAUUGUCUCUGCUCAUGGUAGAAGCAAGGCAUACAGGCCCCCAACCCUUCUGCGCCACCCCUCUUCUCCCCUGUGCACUGUGUCUACUGCUGG
Molecule: long non-coding RNA, 3167 nt
Filed under: Homo sapiens (human)
Lineage: Eukaryota; Metazoa; Chordata; Mammalia; Primates; Hominidae
Description: HSALNT0015447
Source: RNAcentral